Molecule: ribosomal RNA, 492 nt
Filed under: uncultured bacterium
Lineage: Bacteria
Description: partial 16S ribosomal RNA
Rfam family: Bacterial small subunit ribosomal RNA
Source: RNAcentral
AGUGAACGCUGGCGGUAGGCCUAACACAUGCAAGUCGAACGGCAGCACAGUAAGUGCUUGCUCUUACGGGUUGCGAGUGGCGGACGUGUGAGGAAUACAUCGGACUCUACUUUUUCGUGGGGGCUAACGUAGGUAAACUUACGCUCAUACCGCAUCCGACCUACGGUUGAAAGCAGGAGAUCUUCUGACCUUGCGCGAUUCAAUGAGCCUAUGUCGGUUUAGCUAGUUGGCGGGGUAAAGGCCCACCAAGGCGACGAUCCGUAGCUGGUCUGAGAGGAUGAUCAGCGACAGUGGAACUGAGACACGGUCCAGACUCCUAAGGGAGGCAGAAGUGGGGAAUAUAGGACAAAGGGCGCAAGCCUGAUCAAGACAUACCGCGUGGGUGAAGAAGGCCUGCGGGUUGUAAAGCCCUUUUGUUGGGAAAGAAAAGCAGCAGGUGAAUAGCCAGCUGUUGUGACGGUACCCAAAGAAUAAGCACCGGCUAACUACGUG